GACGAACGCUGGCGGCGCGCCUAACACAUGCAAGUCGAACGGAGUCAAGAGGAGCUUGCUUUUCUUGACUUAGUGGCGAACGGGUGAGUAACGCGUGAGUAACCUGCCCUGGAGUGGGGGACAACAGUUGGAAACGACUGCUAAUACCGCAUAAGCCCACGGAUCUGCAUGGAUCUGCGGGAAAAGGAUUUAUUCGCUCUAGGAUGGACUCGCGCCCAAUUAGCUAGUUGGUGAGGUAACGGCCCACCAAGGCGACGAUUGGUAGCCGGACUGAGAGGUUGAACGGCCACAUUGGGACUGAGACACGGCCCAGACUCCUACGGGAGGCAGCAGUGGGGGAUAUUGCACAAUGGGGGAAACCCUGAUGCAGCGACGCCGCGUGGAGGAAGAAGGUUUUCGGAUUGUAAACUCCUGUCGUGAGGGACGAUAAUGACGGUACCUAACAAGAAAGCACCGGCUAACUACGUG
This 468-nucleotide ribosomal RNA is filed under the name uncultured bacterium. RNAcentral describes it as "partial 16S ribosomal RNA". It matches the Rfam family "Bacterial small subunit ribosomal RNA", at positions 28 to 507 of the family's 1533-position model. The record is from RNAcentral.